GAUGAACGCUGGCGGCGUGCCUAAUACAUGCAAGUCGAACGACAAGACGAGAAGCUUGCUCCUUUGCCGUUAGCGGCGGACGGGCGAGUAACACGUGCAUCACAUACCUAUAUGACUGGGAUAACAUCGGGAAACCACAGCUACUACCGCCUCAUACAUUGAACCGCAUGGUUCAAUGGUGAUUGACACCUUUGCCGACACUUAUAGACGAUUCCGCGCCGCAUUAGCUAGUUGGUAAGGUAACGGCUCACCAAGGCGACGAUGCGUAGCCGACCUGAGAGGAUGAUCGGCCACACUGGAACUGAGACACGGUCCAGACUCCUACGGGAGGCAGCAGUGGGGAAUCUUGCGCAAUGGGCGAAAGCCUGACGGAGCAACGCCGCGUGAGUGAUGAAGGUCUUCGGGUCGUAAAACUCUGUUAUUAGGAAAGAACAGAUGUGUAAGUAACUAUGCACGUCUUGACGGUACCUAAACAGAAAGCCACGGCUAACUUCGUG
Molecule: ribosomal RNA, 497 nt
Filed under: uncultured bacterium
Lineage: Bacteria
Description: partial 16S ribosomal RNA
Rfam family: Bacterial small subunit ribosomal RNA
Source: RNAcentral